This 253-nucleotide ribosomal RNA is filed under the name uncultured bacterium. RNAcentral describes it as "partial 16S ribosomal RNA". It matches the Rfam family "Bacterial small subunit ribosomal RNA", at positions 524 to 776 of the family's 1533-position model. The record is from RNAcentral.
UACAGAGGGGGCAAGCGUUGUUCGGAAUUACUGGGCGUAAAGGGCGCGUAGGCGGCGCCGCAAGUCGACUGUGAAAUCUCCGGGCUUAACCCGGAAAGGUCAGCCGAUACUGCGGGGCUAGAGUGCAGAAGGGGCAACUGGAAUUCUCGGUGUAGCGGUGAAAUGCGUAGAUAUCGAGAGGAACACCUGCGGCGAAGGCGGGUUGCUGGGCUGACACUGACGCUGAUGCGCGAAAGCUAGGGGAGCGAACGGG